CCCGCUGAACUUAAGCAUAUCAAUAAGCGGAGGAAAAGAAACCAACAGGGAUUGCCUUAGUAACGGCGAGUGAAGCGGCAAUAGCUCAAAUUUGAAAUCUGGCUCUUUAACAAGGGUUCCGAAUUGUAAUUUGUAGAGGAUGCUUCUGCUUUGGAGUCAAUUAAAGUUCCUUGGAACAGGACGUCAUAGAGGGUGAGAAUCCCGUUUGUGAUUGAAAAUCCUUUGCUAUGUGAAGCUCCUUCGACGAGUCGAGUUGUUUGGGAAUGCAGCUCUAAAUGGGUGGUAAAUUUCAUCUAAAGCUAAAUAUUGGCGAGAGACCGAUAGCGAACAAGUACCGUGAGGGAAAGAUGAAAAGCACUUUGGAAAGAGAGUUAAACAGUACGUGAAAUUGUUGAAAGGGAAACGUUUGAAGUCAGUCGCGUCGGCCGAGACUCAACCUUGCGCUCGCGCUCGGUGCACUUCUCGGUUGACGGGUCAGCAUCAAUUUCGACCGCCGGACAAAGGUUGGGGGAAUGUGGCAUCCUUCGGGAUGUGUUAUAGCCCUCGAUUCACAUACGGCGAUUGGGAUUGAGGAACCCGGCGCCUCGCGCGUCCAGGAUGCUGGCAUAAUGGCUUUAAGCGACCCGUCUUGAAACACGG
This 639-nucleotide ribosomal RNA is filed under the name uncultured fungus. RNAcentral's name for it is "eukaryotic LSU rRNA". It matches the Rfam family "Eukaryotic large subunit ribosomal RNA", at positions 24 to 664 of the family's 3401-position model. Lineage: Eukaryota; Fungi. The record is from RNAcentral.